Molecule: ribosomal RNA, 486 nt
Filed under: uncultured bacterium
Lineage: Bacteria
Description: partial 16S ribosomal RNA
Rfam family: Bacterial small subunit ribosomal RNA
Source: RNAcentral
AUUGAACGCUGGCGGCAUGCCUUACACAUGCAAGUCGAACGGCAGCACGGGUGCUUGCCCCUGGUGGCGAGUGGCGCACGGGUGAGUAAUACAUCGGAACAUGUCCUGUAGUGGGGGAUAGCCCGGCGAAAGCCGGAUUAAUACCGCAUACGAUCUACGGAUGAAAGCGGGGGACCUUCGGGCCUCGCGCUUUCGGGUUGGCCGAUGGCUGAUUAGCUAGUUGGUGGGGUAAAGGCCUACCAAGGCGACGAUCAGUAGCUGGUCUGAGAGGACGACCAGCCACACUGGGACUGAGACACGGCCCAGACUCCUACGGGAGGCAGCAGUGGGGAAUUUUGGACAAUGGGCGAAAGCCUGAUCCAGCAAUGCCGCGUGUGUGAAGAAGGCCUUCGGGUUGUAAAGCACUUUUGUCCGGAAAGAAAUCCUUGGCCCUAAUACGGUCGGGGGAUGACGGUACCGGAAGAAUAAGCACCGGCUAACUACGUG